This 371-nucleotide ribosomal RNA is filed under the name uncultured bacterium. Its description in RNAcentral is "bacterial SSU rRNA". It matches the Rfam family "Bacterial small subunit ribosomal RNA", at positions 352 to 722 of the family's 1533-position model. The record is from RNAcentral.
CAGUGAGGAAUAUUGGUCAAUGGACGAGAGUCUGAACCAGCCAAGUAGCGUGAAGGAUGAAGGUUUAUGGAUUGUAAACUUCUUUUAUACGGGAAUAACGGAUCCACGUGUGGAUUUUUGCAUGUACCGUAUGAAUAAGGAUCGGCUAACUCCGUGCCAGCAGCCGCGGUAAUACGGAGGAUCCGAGCGUUAUCCGGAUUUAUUGGGUUUAAAGGGAGCGUAGAUGGGUUGUUAAGUCAGUUGUGAAAGUUUGCGGCUCAACCGUAAAAUUGCAAUUGACACUGGCAGUCUUGAGUACAGUUGAGGUAGGCGGAAUUCGUGGUGUAGCGGUGAAAUGCUUAGAUAUCACGAAGAACUCCGAUUGCGAAGGC